GGGGGUGGUGCAUUUUUUCUAUGUUACAUACAGUGUACAAAGAAUUACUCCUUAGAAUAACUAAAGAAUUGGUUUCCGUGGGAGAUAUCCGACGAAUAAAACUCUGCCAAAAGCUUGGGCAGCUUGGGAGGCCUAUCAAUGCCGCUCUUUUGGGAGUUUUUGGGCUGGCCCAUAUAGUAGCAGGAAUAAGAUGGUCAUGGGCUUCCUUUCCUAACCAACUACUCUACACUAACCCAAAAAAAAA
This 244-nucleotide long non-coding RNA is filed under the name Elaeis guineensis (African oil palm). Its description in RNAcentral is "long non-coding RNA (EGUI_LNC027047)". Lineage: Eukaryota; Viridiplantae; Streptophyta; Magnoliopsida; Arecales; Arecaceae. The record is from RNAcentral.